GAACGCGAAGAACCUUACCCGGGCUUGAAUUGCAGAGGAAGGAUUUAGAGAUAAUGACGCCCUUCGGGGUCUCUGUGGAGGUGCUGCAUGGUUGUCGUCAGCUCGUGCCGUGAGGUGUCGGCUUAAGUGCCAUAACGAGCGCAACCCCUCUCUUCAGUUGCCAUCAGGUUAAGCUGGGCACUCUGGAGACACUGCCACCGUAAGGUGUGAGGAAGGUGGGGAUGACGUCAAAUCAGCACGGCCCUUACGUCCGGGGCUACACACGUGUUACAAUGGCCGGUACAGAGGGAUGGUGUAAUGCAAAUUGCAUCAAAUCUUGAAAGCCGGUCCCAGUUCGGACUGGGGUCUGCAACCCGACCCCACGAAGCUGGAUUCGCUAGUAAUCGCGCAUCAGCCAUGGCGCGGUGAAUACGUUCCCGGGUCUUGUACACACC
This 434-nucleotide ribosomal RNA is filed under the name uncultured bacterium. RNAcentral describes it as "bacterial SSU rRNA". It matches the Rfam family "Bacterial small subunit ribosomal RNA", at positions 957 to 1391 of the family's 1533-position model. The record is from RNAcentral.